UACGAAGGGGGCGAGCGUUGUUCGGAAUUACUGGGCGUAAAGGGUGCGUAGGCGGUCUGUUUAGUCAGAUGUGAAAGCCCCAGGCUUAACCUGGGAAUUGCAUUUGAUACUGACAGACUAGAGUUUUGGAGAGGGUAGCGGAAUUCCCAGUGUAGAGGUGAAAUUCGUAGAUAUUGGGAAGAACACCAAUGGCGUAGGCAGCUACCUGGCCAAAAACUGACGCUAAGGCACGAAAGCGUGGGGAGCAAACAGG
Molecule: ribosomal RNA, 253 nt
Filed under: uncultured bacterium
Lineage: Bacteria
Description: partial 16S ribosomal RNA
Rfam family: Bacterial small subunit ribosomal RNA
Source: RNAcentral